AGUGUAGACAUAUUUGAUUGGAUACGUGUCAUACACUACUCUGGCAGUGGAGGAACACAUAGGUGGCUAGAUAGAACCAAUACACGAAAUGGAUGAAAUGAAAGGGUUCUCCUAUAUAGAUAUGUUGUCAGGUACUGUUGAGGAGAGGAGCUCAGUGAUGAUGGAGGCCCUGGUAGUGCCUGUCACUGCUCUGGAGUUCCUAAGGGAGGAGUACCUGCUGACAGGUGAGGGUCCGAUCCUGACAGUUUACUGCCUCCAACCACAGCCCAAAGCCUGCACCUCACUGAGCUUGCUCCACAACUACCGCAUCCAUGGAAUACGUCACAAACCACAGCCAAGAGACGGACGGACCCGUGACCCAGAGGAUGAGGUGGUAGUGUUUGGAGGGAAGGUUGUGCGCCUGCUGAGGCUGAGUGCUAGAAGGUAGAGGCUAGAGCCACUGGGCCCCCUCAUGGAGCUGCAGGACUGGGCCCUGGAUGUCCACUUGGUCUCUGGAGAGGAAGAGCCCCUCCUCAGUGUGGCUCUGGCCUUUGGAGGGACCUGGGAGGACUCUGUCCUGGUGGGGGAGACAGUGUUCAACCAGCUGGUGCUCUGGAGGCCAGGAGGGGCACAGCCAGACAGGAAGGCCCCAGUGGAAAGGUGUCUGCCAGGUCAUAGUGGUGUCUUCUUCAGCCUCUGUUUCCGCCGGGAGACUGGUGUGUUGGGGUGCUGUACGGACACCAGUCUUCUCCGUAAAGCUGUCCCCUGGAUGGGUGUACAGCACUGGGGAGGACGGGGUCUCUGUUGUGGGACUGGGGAGGUGGGGGAGGGUGGGCCGGACACUGAAUGGACACCGGGCUGGGGGAGUGAGGGCGGUCAGUGAGGGAGGGGAGGGCCAGGGCAUGUGGGUGGCCACCGGGGGGCUGCAGAUCGAGGAGUCCAGCUAUAGCAGGUGGGGGGUGAGAAGAGGGCGAGAGCCUGGUGGACCUGGACUUCCCCUCCUGUGACGGGGGUUCUGAGUUCAGGUCCUGUGUGUUAGAGGUGUUGAGACUUAUGGGUUGGGGGUCUGCUGCAUCCAGGGAGGGGCUGUGUGCUAUAGGCAGCCUCCGUGAAGGGGUGCAUGUCUUCCCCAUGUCCCAGCCUGGUGCAGGGGUGUUGUUGAGGGCAGGGCCAGGGAAGGUCCACAGUGUGCUGUGGGUGGCGCAGGCAGAGGGACAGGGGAUACCUGCAGGUGUCCGGGGCAGAGGGGCUGGUCUAUCAUUGGCAGGUGGAGGUAGAGAUGAGACACAGGACUGGAUCUAAGGGUAGAACCACUGUGCUCUCCUCCUGCCUUCCUGUGCAAAACGCCGGCUCACUGCUGUAGUUUACCUCAAUCAUCCACAGGGGGCACUGUUGCUAUGUCGAAACAGGAGAGGAUCACUGCUUCUUUUUGAAGGGAGAGAACUCCCGAAGCAAGGGGUGACGUGGGUGUGAGCAUCGCAGACAGUUGUACAGCGCAGGUAGAGAUAGCUGUGUGAGUCCUCUGGGUCGGACCAGAGAGUCUUGAGGUUCUGAGGGUCCAUCAGUCAUGCAGGGGGAUGGAGUGGCUGGAGAGAGUUCUGCUUCUGGAACCCCAGGACUCUGAAGAUGACCUGAGGGUCCAGGAACUAGAAGGGACUGGGUCUGGGAGUGGUAAAAAGGCCCACUUUGUGAUGAUGGUCUUCCACUUGGUCCACCUUGUGGUGCAGUACCAUGGGGGAGGAGGUAGAGGGCAGCAGAGUUCCUACAGCUCCAGUCUCAGUGGUCAGUGGCUUUAGCUCACACUGCCCUUCUGACUGCCCUAAGGAUGCUGAGCCCUGCUGAUGUCCACCUCCCCUGACCAGAGGGUGUUUGUUGUGGCUGGCCAGUACCGGACUCAGCCAGCAGGGAGCGCUCUUCUCCCAUGGCAUAGACCCAGUAGGGCUGGAGGUAUGGAUGGGGGCUGGGCCUGUAGUUGGGGCUAGGGACAGGGGCUGGGUGGUUGUCUGUGGACAGGGGUUACAGCUGCUGAAGGUAACAGACAUGGAGGAUGGAGGGAACAGGUAGCAUAGAACUGGAAGAAUGAUGUGUGGGACGUGUGAAAGAGUCUUUUCACCAGACAAGACAACAUGACCUGUUGUGUACAGGACCCAGUGCUUUCAGACCCAUGGACUGGUACUUUACUAAAUUCAUUGUCAAAGCAUCUGACAUUUUCCUCGGGGGGGGGGUGUAUUGCAAGUGCUGUGUUGUGAAAUGGAGGUCUCGAUGGGGGUCAGUGCACAAGUUUACAGGGGGACAAGACUGCAGCAGAUGAACAUGAGUUUUUUAGUCACAUCCGAGUGCCAUCUUCACUGAGGAGAUAAAGGGACAAUCAGAAAAAGUCUACGAGAGAGAGAGAAGGGUUUGAGUAUGGAAAUGGACUGCAGAGGUGAAUAAAUAAGUAAACUAUUGAGAGAAUGUUAGUUAAAGAGCCAGAGGAUGGAAGGAGGGGAUGCCUUCUGACCAAUGCCGUAUAAAAACAACUGUAUAUGUGAAUACAUACACAUUGCUUCUGACAGGCUCAAUGGGAAAUCUCUGGAUUUGUUUUUUUCCAAUAGAAAGACCUGUAAUUCAACUGUGUCUGUGCAGAGUGAGAGAAGACUCAUGGAAGGAAUCUAUUGAUGCCUGAAGGGAGUCGGGGCUGAUUGGUGAAGUCAUUUACUUGGUGUGUGUGUGUAGUGGUGCGUGAGGGAUACCUCGGCGUCGCCAGAGCCAGGAGAACGAGGCGGAGGUGUGCCAGUGGACCCCCGAGGGAGGAGGAAAGACCCCCAAGUUGAGGAGGAGCCCUCCACACCCACCAGAGAGGUUAUAGGCACUAUGGUGUUACGGGAUCGGUUGCCUAUGAUUGGCUCCUCUGGAAGGAAACCAGCAGGUGAACCAACUAAGGUUUCACACCACUUAAUUUAAUAGCGCUACUAUUUGAACCUGCUUCACUGUCUGUGUGUUGACUUCUGGUCCAUGACUGUUUAAAAGGCCAGCUCCUCCUCUUGCUCUGCAUCCUCUCCUACUCCUCCUCAUAUCCUGUUUCAUCCCCUCUCAUCUCUGUUGGCUCUCAAGUGUUUGUUUUCCUCUGGCUUUGUUCUCUGUCAACAGACACUUGAUCCUGUCAACAGAGACACACAGGGCAUGAAAUAAUAAACAAUGCACUGUAACGCUCACAACAACAGUUCUUGUGGAGAGAUGUUACCCCACUCUUCCACCAAGGCACCUGCAAGUUCCUGGACAUUUCUGGGGGGAAUGGCCCUAGUCCUCACCCUCUGAUCCAACAGAUCCCAGGCGUGCUCAAUGGGAUUUAGA
This is an RNA transcript of Oncorhynchus tshawytscha (Chinook salmon), 3312 nucleotides long. It is a transcript of the gene named WD repeat-containing protein 6-like, with no coding region annotated. The transcript has 5 exons. The record is from RefSeq and is a predicted model, not a curated record. NCBI's taxonomy places the organism in Eukaryota, Metazoa, Chordata, Actinopteri, Salmoniformes, Salmonidae.